This 376-nucleotide ribosomal RNA is filed under the name uncultured bacterium. RNAcentral's name for it is "bacterial SSU rRNA". It matches the Rfam family "Bacterial small subunit ribosomal RNA", at positions 524 to 898 of the family's 1533-position model. The record is from RNAcentral.
GACGUAGGAUGCAAGCGUUGUCCGGAUUUAUUGGGCGUAAAGAGUUCGUAGGCUGUUUGUUAAGUCUGAUGUUAAAGACUGGGGCUCAACCUCGGAAAUGCAUUGGAUACUGGCAGACUGGAGUGCAGUAGAGGCUAGUGGAAUUCCCAGUGUAGCGGUGAAAUGCGUAGAUAUUGGGAAGAACACCGGUGGCGUAGGCGACUAGCUGGGCUGUAACUGACGCUGAGGAACGAAAGCCAGGGGAGCGAAUGGGAUUAGAUACCCCAGUAGUCCUGGCCGUAAACGAUGGAUACUAGGCGUAGUGGGUAUCGACCCCUGCUGUGCCGCAGCUAACGCGAUAAGUAUCCCGCCUGAGUAGUACGGCCGCAAGGUUGAA